GUCCACUGCAGCAGAAUCUCUGAUGCCACUUAAUUAGCUGUGUCACUGAACUAUAGGUUCCUCAUUUGUGAAAACAAAACAAUGGACCAGUGAGCUCUGAGGUACCCUCAAGACCAAAAUAUGUGGCUCUAUGAUGAUGGUUUCCUUUUUUUCUUUCUUUUUGCUGCUGAGAACAAAGUAUUCAAACUAAGGAAGAUUAUGAGUAGUCCUACUUAGUUGGAUACUGAGUUAGUAGAAUUUGAUAUCCAAAUUCUUCUAAUAUUAGAAUUCUUCUGAGUUACAUUAAUAAACUCUAUUGAGUACUAAUAGAAUAAACCUCUUUAUUCGAAAUUUUGGAUAAUUUGCAAAGGAAAUAGAAACUGUGGUUCUGUUCAUAACCUCUAAAAAUUAAACUAGGAAGGGAUGAACAAACAGAAAAAUCUGUACCUGUGAAUAUGAGGAAUAUGAGAUUUCACUUUUUCUUACAAGCAAGUCAGUGAUUUUUUUUUUUAGCUUUGUUAAUUCUUUCAGCAAAUGUUUACUGAAUAUCUGCCAUGUGCCAGGAGUAGUGCCAGGCACAGGACUCCUGCUGUCCUUGAAGAGUUUUGUGGGAUGUGCUGACCUACAGGUACAUACAGUGAGCUAUGGAAUUUUUAAGGCAAACAAUUUGAUUUAAAAGAAAUGUUUAGUUCAAUAAAGGUAACAUACGCAGAAAUUAGCUUAAGACACAGGCUUGGUCUUUAGCCUUUGAAGAAUAAAUUGGGUCAGUAGUGGUGGAAUAUGAAAUCAAAGGAAAUACUAUGUGCUUUCUAUGUAGAUGAAUAUAUGCACCAGCAUUUGGAUGUUUAAUGGUAUUCCUCUUACAGCCGUUGGACAUACCAGAUGGUCGAAGAGCUCCACUUCCUGCUCAUUACCGGAGCAGUAGUACUCGCAGCAUUGACACUCAGACUCCUUCUGUCCAGGAGCGCAGCAGUAGCUGCAGCAGUCAUUCACCCUGUGUCUCCCCUUUUUGUCCCCCGGAAUCCCAGGAUGGUAGCCCUUGCUCAACAGAAGAUUUGCUCUAUGAUCGUGAUAAAGGUCUCGUCAGCCUAUCUCGGCCCCUCUCUUUUCAUGUCCUGACAAAAACAAGGUUAAUUUCAUCCCAACCGGAUCAGCUUUCUGUCCUGUAAAACUUCUAGGCCCCCUCUUACCUGCUUCUGACCUUAUGCUCAAGAACUCUCCUAACUCUGGCCAGAGCUCAGCUUUGGCAACUCUGACCGUUGAGCAGCUCUCAUCCCGGGUUUCCUUUACGUCUCUUUCUGAUGACACCAGCACAGCGGGCUCCAUGGAGGCCUCUGUCCAGCAGCCAUCCCAGCAGCAGCAGCUCCUGCAGGAACUGCAGGGUGAGGACCACAUCUCUGCUCAGAACUAUGUGAUCAUCUAAAAAAGGGGGAGCUGGCCUCCACCCUAUGUUCCAUGGAUUCGGAACAAGAUUUCAGACAUCUGCAUGAGUGACAAACUUUCUGAACGCCACCACCACCAGUAAUACUUAUCAGCAUCAUAAAGUAUCUCUUAAACACUGAUCUUGGCAGGGACGGAACUCCUAUUCAGCAGUUUUUGUGGAAAGCAGUAAUGCUUGCAAAACGUGUGUGUCAUUCAGCAUUUUAAGUGGAGACUAUGCAUUUCAUAGUAUAUUUGACAGAUUAGUACUGUGUCCUGUGUUUUGUUCCAGAUUCUUCAGUAUAAAUAAGCUCUAUAUCAAAAAGUUGCCUGUCUAAAUAGAAAAUGUCUUGCUGUGUUUUGUCCUAUGGAAAAUACUGUAAUUCAGGAUUAUGUUUACAAUUGAUCCAGGUGUUUGUUUCUAACUUCUGUAAUACAUACAAUGCAAAAAAAAAAAAAAAAAAAAUGGCCACAACAGUUGCACAGUGCCCACCCUAUGGCCUAGCUUCAGGUACUUCAGUUGAAGUCUAAACUCAGGUAACUUGGAAUGUAUAUCAUAUUGGGAUAUUAACUAUUUCACAGCUAAAAAGCUAAAGAGGGAACAUCACUCUUUUGCCUUUCCUUAUUUUAUGCAUUUCCCUUUCCUCAUUACAUUCCACAUUCUUAGAAUAAGAAGUGCAUUCAAUCCUAGGAGAAUGAUAAUCCUGGACAUGGGUGAACAUGAGGAGAACCAGCAAAAUCUGUGGUGUUUGACAUCACUUUGUCAUGUGGUUACAAGUAAAACAACUGUUGCAUUCACUGUUUCAACAUGUGUACAUGUGGCUUUUUUAAAAGUUCAGGUGUUGCUCAGUAAAGGACUGUGACAAUGUUGCAAAUAAAGUGUUCAGUACUGGACUGUACAUAAACAUUCCACAUUGUGUGUGAUGAAAUUUAAAGACAAGAAUGUCUAGAGUUAAUUUCAAAAUAAGUGAAGUGUUUGACGGAAUGGUUGAGAUUUUUUUGUUUAUGUUAGCCAUCAGGGUCAUAACUGUUACCAUUUUAUCUAAAGACAGAUUUAUAUUUAGUUUCUCCCUUGGAAAUUCUUUAUUUUGCAGGUGAAAAAGUGACAUACUUUUUGUUAUUGUCUUCCUCAAGCAGUUUAGGUGCAUGAUCUUCAUUUACAUAGAAUACUUGGGUCUCAGAAUUGAUGCAACAUAAGCAGGUUUUUUGGUGACUUACAAGAGCUAUAGUUUGAAGCUAUCUCAUUUAAGCCUCUCAUAAUACAUAAUCAUGAGUAGUUUUGAAAUUUGCAACCUGUGAGGUAGAGCAUAAACUCAAGAAAAUAGCCUUGAACUUGCAGACUUUUGACACAAGUUCUCCACAAAGUGUGAAGAGAGCCCUAGGCAUUCCUGAUUGGUCAAUGGGAGAGCCUAACUUUCAUUGUUUUUUGGAUACAAAGAGUAUCCAAAAGCGAAGUUUUUGUAUUCCACUACUUUCAGUUCAGUAAAACCUAGAGUUGUUUCAUCUGCGCCUAAAGUGUAUGGCACAAUUUUCUUAAGAAUUAGGGGAACCAGGUGCCUACAGUUAAAGGAACGUUUCAGUUCCUUUCAUUCAUUCCUGGGUUUUUCUUUUAUUUUCUAAGAAGGUUGAAGAAGGAUGAGUGAUAGAGAAGAAAGCAACACCAUUGAUUUUUUUUUUUAAGAAAUGAUAUAUAUAUGUAUAUGUUUGUGUGUGUGUGUGUGUGUGUGUGUGUGUGUGUGUGUGUGUAUUCUGUGCAUUAUUUUGUCAUGAUCUCAAUUCUCUUCUUUCCACCAAAGUUUGCCGUAAUAUUUUCUCCUGAAGGUGCAUUCUGGCUCCUUUAAAUUAGUCAGUGUUAUAUUGUAGGAGACUGUCAUGGAAAAAAGGACUCAGUUUACUUUUGUCAUUUUCACAGGGGAACCUUUUAAAACAAUCUUUUCAGCAGCAGAUACCUUUAACCCUAAUAAUCUCAGGCCUUGAUGAAAAUACUAUAUUUUGUAGAUUAUGGUUAAAGGGAGAAAAUUACUAGUUCCGUAAGAUAAAUAUGAGCUCCAUUUGACUUCUGAUAUCUGGUUUAGCAUUACAUAAUAUGUUGAUCUUACACUCUGCUUUUGUCCAAAUAAAAUGCAAUAGUAUCAAUAUCAAUUUCAGAAAAAUGGACUGAAUAUGCUUUUUUGGUGAUUAAAUCUGAUGUACGAUAUUUAUAGUGAUGUGCUUUUAUUUUCUCAUGAGAUACUAAAUAUUAAUUGUGUUGUACAUUUGUUCUUAGCAUAUAUUAAAGUUUUGAACCAAAUGUGUUAAAGCUUACGCUUUGCCAUGUAAAUUUCCCAGAAGUUGUUGAGCUCAAAUGUAUCCUACAUCCAGCUGUAGAAAUUUGUCAGAAAUUGUUUAAAUUUUGUAUAUAAUUGUACUGUUUAAUUCUAGCCAUUGCGCUGAACAGUAUUUGAGUUACCAUAUAAUAUGGCUUUACACAAGGAAAUGUGUGGCUUUUGUUUUGUAUUUUUUCAGUAUAGAAGUUCCUGUGUCUUAUUUAAAUAAAGUUAUUAGUAAAACUG
RNAcentral lists this small RNA (3950 nucleotides) under Pan troglodytes (chimpanzee). RNAcentral describes it as "retained intron". The record is from RNAcentral. Lineage: Eukaryota; Metazoa; Chordata; Mammalia; Primates; Hominidae.